UCAAUAUCUAAACUGCUACAUUUAUUGCUUAACUAAUCCUGUUGGUUCCGAUUCCAACUUUCCACCAUUAAAAUGGAAUUCAUCCAUUUUCCUCUGAAAGUGAUAUCUGCACUAUAUUUCUCUUUUCUUUUUCUAAACCCCCCUCAAUCAUUAAAGAAAUGGAAAGAGCACAGCUUCAACCAAUUAAUCAUAUUCAAAAUUCAACAUUCUAACCUUGGGUUU
This 222-nucleotide long non-coding RNA is filed under the name Theobroma cacao (cacao). RNAcentral describes it as "long non-coding RNA (TCAC_LNC003451)". The record is from RNAcentral. Lineage: Eukaryota; Viridiplantae; Streptophyta; Magnoliopsida; Malvales; Malvaceae.